GUUUGUUUCCUUUUCAUAAAGAAGACAACAGCUCUGGAUGCUGAUAAAACAAAGCUUGGCAGAGUCCCAAGUGCAAAAUCUUGUUCUGGGACUACACUCAGCUUGAUCUUCUCAUUUACCUCUCAGGUAGGCAUUCGGUCUUCAAAAGCCAGGACUAUACAUCUUUGGGAGAUGAAGCUGCAAAAGAAUUUUGAAUAGAUGGAACCUGAGGACGCUUCUGGCUCAGCUAUUACUAAUGGCAUGUUGGCUUUGGAAAAUUGCAUUUUGGCUUUUGGAAAACUCCGCAGUUUGGUACUGGAAGAAUUAGAAGAGUUUGAAACGUGGGAAAAUAAUGGAGAAUCAGAUUUGAAAUGGCUAUUCAUCUCCUGCAAAUACACCCACUGGACAACUAGGAUAGAUACAAGCUGCAAAGAAAGGUACCUCCCAGUAAAGUAUGUUCAUUUUUAUUGUUAUAUUUAGCUUUGCUAGAAUCACCAGUCCAGAGUCUUUUGUAUAUAGAUGGAGACUUGUCAUCAUAGCAAAGUCUGACAAGGAUAUAGGCUUAUUCAGGUACUUAUUCAUAAUGCAGAUCCCAUUCUAGGUAAAACAAAGAACAAAACUCAGUAGGACUCAUAAGUCAGUCUUAUUAUUUGCACAAGGAAGAUAAAUUAACUCCUCCUAAGCAGACAUAGACCAUAAAAUUUUCUCAUAAGUCUGGAAGGGACAGUUGUAGUCUGAUAUCCUUCUCAAAGAAUGAAUGACUGUCCAAAGUCAAUCCCAACAAAUGUCUGCUUGAUCCAUUUAUACAGUAUCUCAUCCUACAAUCUGCCAGCAUAGGUACUCAGGUGCUUCACUGUCCUCUCAGUCAGAAUGCUCUCUCCUUGCUGCAGUUUAACACACCGUGGCAGAAAAAGCACAGUAUUCUUUCUCUCUUAUUAGCAACAAACGAAUUUCAAGAUUGUUAUGCUCACUCUCUCUUCUCUAUACUUCACAGAUCAAAUUCCAUUCACUUUAUUUAUUUGUUAUUCCUUUAUUUAAAGUUUGAUUCAGAUUUGAUGGUGUUUUUUUUUACUCCAAAUUCACUCCUAUUUUUCAUCUUUCUUGAAGUGUUGCACCAUACACUAAACUCUUAAUUCCAAUUUAUAGGUGUAUAUAGAUCUGUAUAUAUCCAAAUGUGACAACUAUCAGUAUUUGAAACAGUAUGACACUUCUGACUGUUCAGUGUGGGUUUACUAAGUUUCUCAAGUCCUUUAUUGAGGAACUUAAAAAGCACAUUAAAAUCCUAGUGUACUAUAAAACAAAAAACAAGCACAAAAAGCAACAUUAUCAUGUUGUCAGUAGCUUCUGUGACACUAAGCAUCCUGAAGAAUGUUUUCCAAUUUUUAUGAUGCUAUGAAGAAAUUGUGAAGAGCUUUGCAAAGACACUGGAACUAGUGCAAGACUUUCUUUUGACUAUAAUGAGAAAGAAUGUGACGCUUAAUCCAUUGGAAUAGCCAGAUACCAUGAAAGAACUGUCUGAAAACAAAGUCUCUAUAUCAUUCAUGAAUAAAUAAACAAGAGGUCUGGCUUGCUCUCUCAGACAGAUAAUACGAAAGGAGAUAAGACUCCUUUAUAAGGAUAAGGCUGCUCUGAAUGUAACACCUCCUAUUUUACUAUGCUGGCCCAUGACAUCCGAGGUGAAUGUUGAUGAUAUGGCACUAUCAUCAACAAUAUUCUGUUACAUUUUACUACCACGUGACAGAUGACAAUAGUGGAGUGGUCUGACAUGAAAAUGUGGAGUUGAAUAUUGGCUUCAAUGUGUUUGAAAAGCUUGGAACAUCACAAAGUUUGCUCUGUGUGAGUCCUACAAAUGCCCACACAGAAACAGAAAGAACACUGUGUACAAGUAUAUCAGGAUCUGUUGAACCAACAUAAGGCUGAAGGUGACAGUUUCCUGGAUUGCAUGAUUACUGGCGAUGAAACAUAGGGUCAGGGCUAUGAGCCGGAGUUAAAACAUCAGUCCAUGUGACAUGUGAAU
Molecule: non-coding RNA, 1996 nt
Organism: Meleagris gallopavo (turkey)
Lineage: Eukaryota; Metazoa; Chordata; Aves; Galliformes; Phasianidae
Source: RefSeq, a predicted model, not a curated record